AUGGAGGCGGGGGUUGAUGUUCUCGAUGCUGUUUAUCAGAAUGCUAUUACCAUGGAUGAGGAUACCAUGGAACCGGAUGAAGAAUCUGUGGCAGCCGUCCACUUCUUUCUUUUACUCUUGGGUGAAGCGCCGCGGUCUGAAGUUUUCAAGACAAUCAUCUUUAGCACCAUCACAACAAAGAAAGUUAAGCAAUGUCAAUCAACCGGUCUUGUCUAUGACUCGCUUGCUAAAAAUUGGAAUAAGUUGUGCAAAUGUGUGUGCCAUCUACGGCUGAUGGUAAUAGAGGCUCUCAUGGAAGCAAACUUAAGGGUUGAGAGACCAAAUGUCAUCAAACCGGCUGAACCUCAUCACACUUUGGUUGAUUUGUUUAAAGAAAUGACAAUACACAAACGAAAGGCCCAGUACAAGUGUAGCUCAAUUGCAAUGGAUGACAAACUCCGGCAAGUAUAUGGAUUAUUGAAGGAAAGAGGUGCUGAUGGCAAGUAUGUUUACAGCGAAAGUGCCUACAAAAACAUCAUGAAGUGCUUGUCUUUGAUACGGUACUCAUCUGUGGUGAUUGGGCUUAUGGUCAGAGAGAAGCCAUAUACUUAUCCCAUGUUCCUUAUUGACACUAAUGACACGUCUGUGAAGUAUGUUGCUGAUGAACUCUUGUUUUGGGAUAAGUAUAAAUCUUUCGAAAAAGAUCACAAGGCAGCUUUUGAGUCAAAAGAUCGUGUUGAAUGUGAGUGCCAAUAUUCACUUGUUAUGAGAUUUCUUCCUGAUACAACUCCGUUUCUACGGCGGUGGGGUUAUUCAGCAUCGUUAAGCAUUGAAGAAAUUAACUUGUGGUGUGACACGUUUAAAUCGAAGACUCCCAGCAUGGGUGAAGUACCAGCCGGAAAGUUUGUUAUUCGUGAGUGGAGGAAGGUGAAUUUAGAACUGGAAACCAAGUUAAAGGCUCUGAUUGUCUUCAUUGGAGAAAAUUAUCUGGGUGACUGA
RNAcentral lists this ribosomal RNA (978 nucleotides) under Triticum aestivum (bread wheat). RNAcentral describes it as "partial small subunit ribosomal RNA". Lineage: Eukaryota; Viridiplantae; Streptophyta; Magnoliopsida; Poales; Poaceae. The record is from RNAcentral.